Molecule: long non-coding RNA, 2336 nt
Filed under: Malus domestica (apple)
Lineage: Eukaryota; Viridiplantae; Streptophyta; Magnoliopsida; Rosales; Rosaceae
Description: long non-coding RNA (MDOM_LNC007742)
Source: RNAcentral
UUCGGGAAGAUCCGUCAGAUUCCAAUGUUGUUGCAGAUUUCAUCCGCUUCUGUGCUGCCAAGAAAUCGAAAUCUGGUCGUGGUUCCUUCCCGAUCAUUCCGACAAAGAAACGGUCGUCGAGAAGGAGGCCCAACAAGAAAACAUGUUCCGGGUUUUCGUCAGUCCCCAUUAUCCUUCCCAAGAAGAAGAGGUCGCUGAGAAGGAGGGCAGCCCCAUCUCUGGAUAUGACGUCGAAAAAUCUGAAAAGGAAGCGGCUUUCUGGGUGUGAAUCUUCUACAAACAACGAUAGGGAUGAAGGGUUUCUUCUUCAGAAGAAACAGAAGUUCGUUGAUCCGAUCCGUGGUAGUUGAGCACUGACGACCCUUAAUUUACCACAACGAGACAGGUUUGCGUGUUGGUUCGGUCAAUUUUAUAGCUUUAUUUUUGGUAGAAUUCAAGUUUCAACUUCACUUAUUAGAAAUGAAAUCCUAAUUUCUCCAAGUUUUCGUAAGUGGUCAAGGAUCCGGCAGUGAAGUCUAUGAUUCUCGACUUUUAAGUAUAUAGGGUGAAUCUUAUGUUUCGUUUAGGAAUUAUUGUUUCAGUUGUGUACGAGCCUAUGAUUCUCGAAACAUUUAGCUGCUGUUUGUUAAGGCACUGUUAUGUUGGAACUCUUCAAGAGACAGUAUCCUACAUACCAAACAAGGCCUAAUCGGAUAAAUGGUCCCCAUGGUCAUAAGGUAUUCGGAUGAUAGCCCCUGUGAUAAAAAAAUUCGAAUUUAAACCCCUGUGGUCAUAGUCUGUUAGGAUUUAAACCCCUGUGGUCUAAGUCUGUUAGGAUUUAUGCCCUUCUGUCAUUCCUCCAUUAGAUUUAGGUUGGCAAAAUUGAAUAAAUGAUCCCCGUGAUCAUAACGUAUUCGGAAGAUAGUCCCUGUGGUAAAAAAAAUUCGGAUUUAAACCCCUGUGGUCUAAGUUUGUUAGGAUUUAUGCCUAAAACUAGAGGUUUUGUCAUUUCUCUGCUAAGCUUACAGGUGGAACUAAUAAAAAAAAAAAGGUCGUACCCAGUACACAAGGCUCCCGCUUUACACAGGGUCUGGGACAGGUGGAACUAAUAAAUCACAUAAUUCAUUAAAAUUCAAGAUCUAAUAAAUCAAAUAAUUCAAAAUGCCUUUAUAAAAUUAACGAGUUUUUGACUCCCGAAUGUCCAACCGAUUAAUUAAUUCUUUAUAUAUAUUCUAUUUUUCUUUGACAAAUAAGACAGUAAUCGUUGGCGUUUUCCCAGAAUUUUACGUAAACCUCUUUGAGAUAAAUAGUUUUUUUGUGUAAUUGUAAAUGUGAAGUAAGUCUUCGUAUCCUAUUGGUGAAACUAACUAUUUGAAAUUCAACAGAUCAUCUGUUUUCGUCUUUUUUCUUCUUGUGAAAUAACUAAGAUGAAUAAAUUUUUUUACCAUAAACUGAAAUCUUCUCUCCCCCCUUCUUAUUGUAAGAUAUUUUUUAUUGAUAGAUACUCAGAGAAACUCUGCUCCACCUGUAAGCUUAACGAAGGAAUGACAUAACCUCUAAUUUCUGGCAUAAAUCCUAAUAGACUUAGACCACAGGGGUUUAAAUCCGAAUUUUUUCUACCACAGGGGCUAUCUUCCGAAUUCCUUAUGACCACGGGGACCAUUUAUCCGAUUUGGCCAACCUAAACCUAAUGAAGGAAUGACAGAAGGGCAUAAAUCCUAACAAACUUAGAUCACAGAGGUUUAAAUCCUAACCGACUGUGACCACAAGGGUUUAAAUCCGAAUUUUUUUACCACAUGAGCUAUCAUCCGAAUACCUUAUGAUCACGAGGACCAUUUAUCCGAUUAUGCCUACCAAACAAAUAAGAGUCGGAACGUUUCACUUGUCCUCUACAGAUUGCAAUGAUGGGAACAGUAACCAUCAUUCAGUUUUAAGUGCAAUCAGCCCACGAUGUACAGUGGUUGAGCUUUGCCGGGAACAUUCAGCUCUUUUGGCAAUGUGGAAAGGUGUUAGCUCUUAAGAGCAAUUCCACUCCUAAGGACUUUGCGCCAGCACCCAGCGCAUUUAUCUACUCAAAUGAACAGUAAUAGACUGGAGUGAAUAGUAAUAGGCCAAGGCAUCUCCACCCCUAAAAAAAUGCGCUGGUACCCAGCGCAUUUAUUUGGUGUGUUUUUUUUUUUAAGUUUAUUUCGGAUAAGAUUUUUAACCAAUUUCAGAUAAAAUUUCAAAUAAACUUAAAAAAAAAUACACACUAAAAUAAAAUUACAUACUCAUCAAAUAAACUAAAAAAAAAACACACUAAAAUGAAAUUACAUAAACUCAUCAAAUACACUUUAUUCUUCAACCACAAGUUUUUU